This 627-nucleotide precursor RNA is filed under the name Arceuthobium apachecum. Its description in RNAcentral is "partial precursor_RNA". The stretch from base 218 to 376 matches the Rfam family "5.8S ribosomal RNA". The record is from RNAcentral. Lineage: Eukaryota; Viridiplantae; Streptophyta; Magnoliopsida; Santalales; Viscaceae.
AUUGUCAUGCUUUUAAAGAUGAAUGACAAGUAAAGAGUUAAUCUAUUUUAGAUCGUUGAUCUAAUAGAACAUUCGAUACAUGGUUGGCGAACAUGUGUGCGCUUGUUUUAAUUAUGAAUCGGUACGAAAUGUGCCAAGGAGAAGGAAAUAUUGUUCCCCCUUUAAAUGAGACAUAUUGUUAUUUUUUAUAGGGGUGGAGAUUAAUCAAUGAUCAAAUGACUUCCAACAAUGGAUAUCUUGACUCUCGUACCGAUGAAGAACGUAGCAAAAUGCGAUACAUGGUGUGAAUUGCAGAAUUCCGCGAAUCAUCGAGUUUUUGAACGCAAGUUGCGCCUAAGGCCAGUUAUAGGUUUAGGGCAUGCUUGCUUGGGUGUCGUGUAUGAGACAACUAAAUAUUUUUUCCAUGAUCUACUGAUUGAUGGACUUAUUUGGUUGUGCUUCUUGUCCUCUCGUUCACUUAGACUGUGUUCGGUUGGAUGAAAUAUUAGAAUCCUUGGCAUCGAAUGUCUUGCAUGUUUUGGUUAACAUUGUAUGAUAUUAACGCUGUCUAGUUAAAAUUGAAUGCCAAACAGAAUGCCGAUCUCAUUCUCACAAAAUGAGAGGAUUCUUUUGACCUCAGGUCAAGCA